AAUAAGUUUAUUUGUGGAUUUCUCUGUGUGUAACAUUUGGCCGUCCGUCUUAUUUAAAUUUUUUUUAUGAUUAGUAUUUUUAUUAUUAUUAGAUGUGAAAAUAUGAAUAGUACUUUAUACAUGACUUGUUUUUAUUAUUUUUUUCAUAAAAUUUUCAAAUAUGACGGACGGUUAAACGUUGAACACAAAAACCCAUAAAUAAACUUAUU
Oryza meridionalis is the source of this 209-nucleotide non-coding RNA. Lineage: Eukaryota; Viridiplantae; Streptophyta; Magnoliopsida; Poales; Poaceae. The record is from Rfam.